GAUGAACGCUGGCGGCGUGCCUAAUACAUGCAAGUCGAGCGGCAGCACGGUCUUCGGACUGGUGGCGAGCGGCGGACGGCUGAGUAACGCGUAGGAAUAUACCCCAAAGUGGGGGAUAACUGCCCGAAAGGGUAGCUAAUACCGCAUGUGGUCUUCGGACUAAAGCCUUCGGGCGCUUUGGGAAUAGCCUGCGUAAGAUUAGCUAGUUGGUGAGGUAAUGGCUCACCAAGGCGACGAUCUUUAGCUGGUCUGAGAGGAUGACCAGCCAGACUGGAACUGAGACACGGUCCAGACUCCUACGGGAGGCAGCAGUAGGGAAUUUUCCACAAUGGGCGAAAGCCUGAUGGAGCAACGCCGCGUGCAGGAUGAAGGCCCUCGGGUCGUAAACUGCUUUUAUGUGCGAAGAAUAUGACGGUAACACAUGAAUAAGGGUCGGCUAACUACGUGCCAGCAGCCGCGGUAAU
This 464-nucleotide ribosomal RNA is filed under the name uncultured bacterium. Its description in RNAcentral is "bacterial SSU rRNA". It matches the Rfam family "Bacterial small subunit ribosomal RNA", at positions 28 to 524 of the family's 1533-position model. The record is from RNAcentral.